This 465-nucleotide ribosomal RNA is filed under the name uncultured Klebsiella sp. Its description in RNAcentral is "bacterial SSU rRNA". It matches the Rfam family "Bacterial small subunit ribosomal RNA", at positions 338 to 795 of the family's 1533-position model. The record is from RNAcentral. Lineage: Bacteria; Pseudomonadati; Pseudomonadota; Gammaproteobacteria; Enterobacterales; Enterobacteriaceae.
CCUACGGGCGGCUGCAGUGGGGAAUAUUGCACAAUGGGCGCAAGCCUGAUGCAGCCAUGCCGCGUGUGUGAAGAAGGCCUUCGGGUUGUAAAGCACUUUCAGCGGGGAGGAAGGCGGUGAGGUUAAUAACCUCAUCGAUUGACGUUACCCGCAGAAGAAGCACCGGCUAACUCCGUGCCAGCAGCCGCGGUAAUACGGAGGGUGCAAGCGUUAAUCGGAAUUACUGGGCGUAAAGCGCACGCAGGCGGUCUGUCAAGUCGGAUGUGAAAUCCUCGGGCUCAACCUGGGAACUGCAUUCGAAACUGGCAGGCUAGAGUCUUGUAGAGGGGGGUAGAAUUCCAGGUGUAGCGGUGAAAUGCGUAGAGAUCUGGAGGAAUACCGGUGGCGAAGGCGGCCCCCUGGACAAAGACUGACGCUCAGGUGCGAAAGCGUGGGGAGCAAACAGGAUUAGAUACCCUUGUAGUC